AUGGGGAUGGCGGCGGUCAAGGUGGAGGGGCGGGACGGCUGCGCCGAGAGCAGGCAGCAUCUGGCGCUGUCGAGCCCGUCGGCGUCCGAGGGAGGGAGCUAUGGCGGCGGGCACGCGUGGGCGUCGCCGCUCGUGCCCAGCCCCGCCGAUUCCGGCUCCAGCCGCAGGCGAAUAAGUGGCCCUGUAAGAAGAGCUAAGGGUGGCUGGACACCUGAAGAGGAUGAAACAUUGCGCAAGGCAGUUACUGUUUUCAAGGGUAAAAAUUGGAAGAGAGUAGCCGAGUUUUUCCCUGAUAGAACAGAAGUACAAUGUCUGCACAGAUGGCAAAAAGUUCUUGACCCUGAACUUAUAAAAGGACCUUGGACCCAAGAGGAAGAUGACACCAUUAUCCAGAAGGUAAAGGAGCAUGGACCAACAAAAUGGUCCGUUAUAGCGAGGUCAUUGCAUGGUCGUAUUGGUAAACAAUGCCGAGAGAGAUGGCAUAAUCAUCUGGAUCCUCAAAUAAGGAAAGAAGCUUGGACUUUUGAGGAGGAGCAGGUGCUUGUUGAUGCUCAUCGUAUGCAUGGUAAUAAAUGGGCGGAGAUUGCAAAACUCCUUCCUGGAAGGACAGAUAACUCAAUAAAAAACCAUUGGAAUAGUUCAGUGAGAAAAAGGCUAGAUGAAUAUGAUACAGGAGCUGCCCGCAAUGUUCCAGUACAUGUCAGUCAUAAUGAUUUGAAACAGCCCGCGAUAGCCCUGCCUGCUGAAAACUACAUUGACUUGAAUGAAGUGCCAAACAUCAGUUUGAGAAACCAUUCAGGAAUAGUCGAUCAUUCUGAUCCUACCCAUAGUCCACGGGUGUGUAGUUUGAAAAAUAUUAAGGGCUGUUCAGACUUCCUCUCUCUUUCCAUGCCAACUGCUCAACCAGUAACUUCAUGUCAGGCAUCAGCAGCUGAUGAUUCUGCUGUUGCUUUAGCAAUAAUGGGGAUGAAAAUGGAUUCUGGCCGUGACAAGGACAUUGAACUGAACUUUGUUUGUCAGAAGGGUCUGCAAAUCAAUUUGUCGAAUGAGAAGGGCCUGGAAAUUGACCCCGUAAUAGCUAAGCCAGAUGGACGUGAAUCAACCUUGGUAAAAGAGGCUCAGUCCUUUGGUUCUCUUUGUUAUCAGAUACCUAAGCUAGAAGAUAUCGACCUUGUUCGUUCCCCAGUUUUGUCAAGACAUCAUGGAUCAGAACACGGUGUGGAUGGAUUUCAAUCACCCACUGGCUAUGCUACUCCCUCUCCAACUGAUGGAAAACAAUCCGAUCAGCUCAGUGUGGAAUCAAUAUUGAAAAGUGCUGCUGAAAACUUCCCAGGUACUCCUUCGAUACUCAGGAGAAGAAAAAGGGAUAAACCAACACCUUCUCAAGAUACUGAUUUUAAGAUUGAUGCAAACAGUGAUUGUUUUGACACCCCCAAAGCGAACUGCACUACAUAUAGCCCACAUUCAUUUAAAACUGCACCAUUUUUGUCCUUGGGUCGCCUUGAUGACCAGCAGUUGCCUUCUGUCUUGGGGAAGUUUGAUGUUUCCCCCACAUAUCGAUUAAGGUCAAAGCGAAUGGCUGUGCUGAAAACCGUUGAGAAGCAUCUAGAUUUUUCGGCUGAUGCAAUGGAUACUUGUGACAUGGUUGGAACUCUGAAAUCUUCUUGCCGGAACACGGAGAGCAUCAAUGCCAGCUCAGACAUUUCAAGCGCACACGAUAGGAGGAUUAAUGGGCAUAUGAUUGGGUUGGAGACUCUAACCAGUGACUUUGCAUACACAACAAAGUUAGAUGCAACCUAG
This 1800-nucleotide ribosomal RNA is filed under the name Triticum aestivum (bread wheat). RNAcentral's name for it is "partial small subunit ribosomal RNA". Lineage: Eukaryota; Viridiplantae; Streptophyta; Magnoliopsida; Poales; Poaceae. The record is from RNAcentral.